RNAcentral lists this ribosomal RNA (462 nucleotides) under uncultured bacterium. Its description in RNAcentral is "partial 16S ribosomal RNA". It matches the Rfam family "Bacterial small subunit ribosomal RNA", at positions 339 to 795 of the family's 1533-position model. The record is from RNAcentral.
CUACGGGUCGCUGCAGUCGAGAAUCUUCCGCAAUGGACGAAAGUCUGACGGAGCGACGCCGCGUGCGGGAUGAAGGCCUUCGGGUUGUAAACCGCUGUCAGUGGGGAGGAAAUGCAUCAGGGUUCUCCCUGGUGUUUGACCGAUCCGCAGAGGAAGCGCAGGCUAAGUUCGUGCCAGCAGCCGCGGUAACACGAACUGCGCGAACGUUAUUCGGAAUCACUGGGCUUAAAGAGUUCGUAGGCGGCCUUUCAAGUCGGGUGUGAAAUCCCUCGGCUCAACCGCGGAAUUGCGCCUGGAUACUGUUGGGCGUGAGGGGGAUAGGGGUGAGCGGAACUGAUGGUGGAGCGGUGAAAUGCGUUGAUAUCAUCAGGAACACCGGUGGCGAAGGCGGCUCACUGGAUCUCUUCUGACGCUGAGGAACGAAAGCUAGGGGAGCGAACGGGAUUAGAUACCCCCGUAGUC